GCAGGGCAUGGUGGCACAUGCCUGUAGUCCCAGUAACAUGGGAGGCUGAGGCAGGAGGAUCUCUUGAGUCCAGGAAUUCUGGGAUGUUGUUCACUAUGCCAGUCAGGUAUCCACACGAAGUUCAGCAUCAAUAUGGUGACCUCCUGACAGCAGGGGACCACCAGAUUGCACAAUGAGGGGUGAACUGGCCCAGGUCAGAAAUGGAGUAGGUUAAACUCCCAUGCUGUACAGCCGUGGAAUUGUGGUUGUGAAUAGCCACUAUACUCUAACAUGGGCAACAUAGUGAGUCCCUGCCUCUU
This is an unclassified non-coding RNA of Callithrix jacchus (white-tufted-ear marmoset), 299 nucleotides long. It matches the Rfam family "Metazoan signal recognition particle RNA". From Rfam's summary of the family: The signal recognition particle (SRP) is a universally conserved ribonucleoprotein. The record is from Ensembl. NCBI's taxonomy places the organism in Eukaryota, Metazoa, Chordata, Mammalia, Primates, Cebidae.